RNAcentral lists this ribosomal RNA (365 nucleotides) under uncultured bacterium. RNAcentral describes it as "partial 16S ribosomal RNA". It matches the Rfam family "Bacterial small subunit ribosomal RNA", at positions 338 to 700 of the family's 1533-position model. The record is from RNAcentral.
CCUACGGGAGGCAGCAGUGAGGAAUAUUGGUCAAUGGGCGUAAGCCUGAACCAGCCAAGUCGCGUGAGGGAUGAAGGUUCUAUGGAUCGUAAACCUCUUUUAUAAGGGAAUAAAGUGCGGGACGUGUCCCGUUUUGUAUGGACCUUAUGAAUAAGGACAGGCUAACUCCGUGCCAGCAGCCGCGGUAAUACGGAGGAUCCGAGCGUUAUGCGGAUUUAUUGGGGUUAAAGGGUGCGUAGGCGGCCUUUUAAGUCAGCGGUGAAAGUCUGUGGCUCACCCAUAGAAUUGCCGUUGAAACUGGUAGGCUUGAGUAUGUCUGCGGCAGGCGGACUGCGUGGUGUAGCGGUGAAAUGCUUAGAUCUCAC